GCCAGGCUUGGUGGCACACGCCUAUAAUCCCAGCUACUCAGGAAGCUGAGGCAUGAGGAUCCCAGGUUCAAGGCCAGCCUGAGCAACUUUGAGAGAUCUUGUCUCAA
This 107-nucleotide small RNA is filed under the name Marmota monax (woodchuck). Lineage: Eukaryota; Metazoa; Chordata; Mammalia; Rodentia; Sciuridae. The record is from RNAcentral.